UGUGGGGAAGCCGUAGCGAAAGCGAGUCUGAAUAGGGCGAUUGAGUCGCGUGUCCUAGACCCGAAGCGGAGUGAUCUACCCAUGGCCAGGUUGAAGCGCGUGUAAGAACGCGUGGAGGACCGAACCCACUUCAGUUGAAAAUGGAGGGGAUGAGUUGUGGGUAGGGGUGAAAGGCCAAUCAAACUCCGUGAUAGCUGGUUCUCCCCGAAAUGCAUUUAGGUGCAGCGUCACGUGUUUCUUCCCGGA
RNAcentral lists this ribosomal RNA (246 nucleotides) under Xanthomonas citri pv. citri. Its description in RNAcentral is "partial 23S ribosomal RNA". It matches the Rfam family "Bacterial large subunit ribosomal RNA", at positions 656 to 900 of the family's 2925-position model. The record is from RNAcentral. Lineage: Bacteria; Pseudomonadati; Pseudomonadota; Gammaproteobacteria; Lysobacterales; Lysobacteraceae.